GCUGGGCAUGGUGGUGCAUGCCUGUAAUCCCAGCUACUUGGGAGGCUGAGGCAGGAGAAUUGCUUGAACUCAGGAGGCGGAGGUUGCAGUGAGCCAAAACCGUGCCACUGCACUCCAGCCCGGGUGACAGAGUGAGAUUCUGUCUCAA
This is a non-coding RNA of Homo sapiens (human), 148 nucleotides long. It matches the Rfam family "Metazoan signal recognition particle RNA". Rfam says of the family: The signal recognition particle (SRP) is a universally conserved ribonucleoprotein. It is involved in the co-translational targeting of proteins to membranes. The record is from Rfam. Lineage: Eukaryota; Metazoa; Chordata; Mammalia; Primates; Hominidae.